GAAAUUCGCUAGGGGAGCUGAAGCAGCUGAGAGUCCUCGCUCGGAAAAGCGAGGAGACCCUAUGAACCUGUUUGGGUAAUUCCAGCGAAGGGAAGCGGGAAUGCAAAAAG
This 110-nucleotide non-coding RNA is filed under the name Deltaproteobacteria bacterium. RNAcentral describes it as "TPP sequence". It matches the Rfam family "TPP riboswitch aptamer (THI element)". Rfam says of the family: Vitamin B(1) in its active form thiamin pyrophosphate (TPP) is an essential coenzyme that is synthesised by coupling of pyrimidine and thiazole moieties in bacteria. The previously detected thiamin-regulatory element, thi box was extended, resulting in a new, highly conserved RNA secondary structure, the THI element, which is widely distributed in eubacteria and also occurs in some archaea. Analysis of operon structures identified a large number of new candidate thiamin-regulated genes, mostly transporters, in various prokaryotic organisms. Lineage: Bacteria; Pseudomonadati; Myxococcota; Myxococcia. The record is from RNAcentral.